This 443-nucleotide long non-coding RNA is filed under the name Chelydra serpentina (North American snapping turtle). RNAcentral's name for it is "lncRNA (ENSCSRG00000012563.1)". The record is from RNAcentral. Lineage: Eukaryota; Metazoa; Chordata; Testudines; Chelydridae.
GAGCACUCAGCCCAAGAGAAAGCUGAGGCAGAAAGUGCUUAUGAGAAGAAGCUGUUGAAGCUGAGGCAGGAGGCUGCUACUAUGCAAUCUCAGAAAGAAGAGGAACGAGCUAGGGCUGAAAAUGCCAGGCAAGAGGUGCUGCUAGAGAAAGAGAGGGAGAAGAAGUCUUUGCUGGAGGCACUGCUCCAAACACAGGAAGAGUUGACAGAUGCCUGCCAGCAGCUGGAGCAGCUUCGCAAAGAGGUGAAGAAGCAACAGAAGGAGCAGGACACCUUGGAGGGGCUGCAAGCUGAGCUCCAGGAAGCUCAGAAUCAGAUGGAGGCAGUGGAGAGCAGGUACCAGGAAGAGGUCAAAACCCUCAAACAGGAAAUAGACGUUCUCCUUCCACAGAGAGACACCCUGCGAAACCAGGUGCAAGAGCUAGUAGUCACCAAGGAUUCCUG